Olea europaea var. sylvestris is the source of this 507-nucleotide long non-coding RNA. RefSeq lists it as uncharacterized. Lineage: Eukaryota; Viridiplantae; Streptophyta; Magnoliopsida; Lamiales; Oleaceae. The record is from RefSeq and is a predicted model, not a curated record. The transcript has 3 exons.
CUCAUUAUUUUUGGUAAUUGUAAUCAUCUUUCAUGCCGCUGAAACGAUAAAAAGCCUCUCUUUCUGUUUUAACAGGCCCGUGUUUUUACAAAAUUAAUGUAGUUUGACAUUAGCCUUUUUUUUGUUUGAUGCAGGCACUGAUUGUGUUGGGCCUUGUGGGUUCUGCUCCAUCAUUUACUCCAAGGACAUCACACUUGCCCGUGGUUCACAAUCAUUAUUUGCAAACCCUGCCUCUUUAGGGUUGUACUGGAGCCAAGAGGAUUGUGUCGUCUCGAAGAUUGUUGUCGAAGAUUUCCUCACAAAAAAGUACCUAAGUUCGUGUCAAAGAUUGCUGUGAAGAAAAUUGAGGCCGAUGGGAUUGAAAAACGCACUACUUAGUUUGUCGUUUUUUUUUUUUUGGAAAAUGUAUUGGAUUUUUAGGUAUUUUAGAAUUUUGGAUCUGAAUUUUGUACGAAUAUCGUUACAUUUUAGAGUUCAGUUAAUAAUGAUUAUUGGAGUUAUUUGAUA